This 253-nucleotide ribosomal RNA is filed under the name uncultured bacterium. RNAcentral describes it as "partial 16S ribosomal RNA". It matches the Rfam family "Bacterial small subunit ribosomal RNA", at positions 524 to 776 of the family's 1533-position model. The record is from RNAcentral.
UACGUAGGUGGCAAGCGUUGUCCGGAUUUACUGGGCGUAAAGGGUGCGUAGGCGGCGCGGUAAGUCGGGUGUGAAAUCUCGGAGCUUAACUCCGAAACUGCAUUCGAUACUGCCGUGCUUGAGGACUGGAGAGGAGACUGGAAUUUACGGUGUAGCGGUGAAAUGCGUAGAUAUCGUAAGGAAGACCAGUGGCGAAGGCGGGUCUCUGGACAGUUCCUGACGCUGAGGCACGAAGGCCAGGGGAGCAAACGGG